Molecule: non-coding RNA, 496 nt
Organism: Odocoileus virginianus texanus
Lineage: Eukaryota; Metazoa; Chordata; Mammalia; Artiodactyla; Cervidae
Source: RefSeq, a predicted model, not a curated record
AGAGACCCCGCUUCCCGUCUUGGGGAGCGAGUCCCCGCCUCCCGGGGAAGCGACCCCGACCCCAGAGGACGAGCGGGAGCUGUGGGAAACAGGAGAAGCGUGUUCUGAGCAGAGAAGAUGAACGUGCAACGUCGCAGAGGCAAGGGUCCCAUCCAAGAGAGGCAAAGUCCUUCAAGCUGCAAAUCAGAAAUGAUGGGAAAGAGCCGGAAUCGCAUCUACACCCCAGCAAGAAAGACAGGGACCCUUGAAGGGUCUUCAAAUGGAAGAGUGGCCUCAUCCUCCUGCCUCGUGUGGAAAUGUUUGCCCAGGGAAGCGGUGUGGGCUGGAGAUACAGAAUCGAGUAUAUAACACUGAAUCAAGGGAAGUGGAUGAGGUCACCCCGGGAGAAGAAAAGAAGGCUUGGGAUGGAACAAGAAUGAACAUCACCAAGCAGAGGUUAAAUUCCAGGACACGCACUGCACAUUGCAUUUCCCCAAACCAGCAGAGGGUGUGUUGG